RNAcentral lists this ribosomal RNA (468 nucleotides) under uncultured bacterium. RNAcentral describes it as "partial 16S ribosomal RNA". It matches the Rfam family "Bacterial small subunit ribosomal RNA", at positions 28 to 507 of the family's 1533-position model. The record is from RNAcentral.
GACGAACGCUGGCGGCGUGCUUAACACAUGCAAGUCGAACGGAAAGGCCCUGCUUUUGUGGGGUGCUCGAGUGGCGAACGGGUGAGUAACACGUGAGUAACCUGCCCUUGACUUUGGGAUAACUUCAGGAAACUGGGGCUAAUACCGGAUAGGAGCUCCUGCUGCAUGGUGGGGGUUGGAAAGUUUCGGCGGUUGGGGAUGGACUCGCGGCUUAUCAGCUUGUUGGUGGGGUAGUGGCUUACCAAGGCUUUGACGGGUAGCCGGCCUGAGAGGGUGACCGGCCACAAUGGGACUGAGAUACGGCCCAGACUCCUACGGGAGGCAGCAGUGGGGAAUAUUGCAGAAUGGGCGGAAGCCUGAUGCAGCAACGCCGCGUGCGGGAUGACGGCCUUCGGGUUGUAAACCGCUUUCGCCUGUGACGAAGCGUGAGUGACGGUAAUGGGUAAAGAAGCAACGGCUAACUACGUG